GACGAACGCUGGCGGCGUGCUUAACACAUGCAAGUCGAACGGAAAGGCCUUUUCGGCGGCACUCGAGUGGCGAACGGGUGAGUAACACGUGGGUGAUCUGCCCUGCACUCUGGGAUAAGCCUGGGAAACUGGGUCUAAUACCGGAUAGGACCGCACUUUAGUGCGUGUGGUGGAAAGUUUUUUCGGUGUAGGAUGAGCUCGCGGCCUAUCAGCUUGUUGGUGGGGUAAUGGCCUACCAAGGCGGCGACGGGUAGCCGGACUGAGAGGUUGGUCGGCCACAUUGGGACUGAGGUGCGGCCCAGACGCCUACGGGAGGCAGAAGUGGGGAAUAUUGCACAAUGGGCGCAAGCCUGAUGCAGCGGGGCCGCGUGGGGGAUGACGGCCUUCGGGUUGUAAACUCCUUUCGCCAGGGACGAAGCGUUUUGUGACGGUACCUGGAGAAGAAGCACCGGCUAACUACGUG
RNAcentral lists this ribosomal RNA (463 nucleotides) under uncultured bacterium. Its description in RNAcentral is "partial 16S ribosomal RNA". It matches the Rfam family "Bacterial small subunit ribosomal RNA", at positions 28 to 507 of the family's 1533-position model. The record is from RNAcentral.